GACGAACGCUGGCGGCGUGCUUAACACAUGCAAGUCGAACGGAAAGGCUCCAGCUUGCUGGAGUACUCGAGUGGCGAACGGGUGAGUAACACGUGGGUGAUCUGCCCUGCACUUCGGGAUAAGCCUGGGAAACUGGGUCUAAUACCGGAUAGGACCGCACUUUGGUGUGUGUGGUGGAAAGGUUUUUCUGGUGUGGGAUGAGCUCGCGGCCUAUCAGUUUGUUGGUGGGGUAAUGGCCUACCAAGACGGCGACGGGUAGCCGGCCUGAGAGGGUGGACGGUCACAUUGGGACUGAGAUACGGCCCAGACUCCUACGGGAGGCAGCAGUGGGGAAUUUUGCACAAUGGGGGAAACCCUGAUGCAGCGACGCCGCGUGGGGGAUGAAGGCCUUCGGGUUGUAAACUCCUUUCGCUAGGGACGAAGCUUUUUGUGACGGUACCUGGAGAAGAAGCACCGGCUAACUACGUG
This 468-nucleotide ribosomal RNA is filed under the name uncultured bacterium. RNAcentral's name for it is "partial 16S ribosomal RNA". It matches the Rfam family "Bacterial small subunit ribosomal RNA", at positions 28 to 507 of the family's 1533-position model. The record is from RNAcentral.